AUGUCAACAAUUGAGGAAAUAGCAGGAAUGGAUGUUCAUCCUGGUUAUAGUUACAGCAGCAGGGGACAAGCACUUGCUCUGGACCAGUGCAUCAAGUACCUCGGUCUGAAGGAAAGGGAGGACUAUGAGGUCGUAAUUGAGGACAAUAAGUUCUUGUACAAGAAGAACCGGCAAAUAAUUGACACGUCCUUCGGUCCGAGGGAUGCAAAGUGGAUCUUUGUUCUUAGCACAACUAAGACCUUGUAUGUUGGUCAGAAGAAGAGAGUAAACACUAUAAAAUGGCCCUCAUUGGUUUAUCACAGCUAUGGUGUUCAAACUCUUCAGUUUGCUGUCUUUGAUCUUACAGCCGGGUCCUUCAGUAUGUCAGAUUAG
This 372-nucleotide ribosomal RNA is filed under the name Triticum aestivum (bread wheat). Its description in RNAcentral is "partial small subunit ribosomal RNA". Lineage: Eukaryota; Viridiplantae; Streptophyta; Magnoliopsida; Poales; Poaceae. The record is from RNAcentral.